CCUACGGGGGGCUGCAGUGGGGAAUAUUGCACAAUGGGGGAAACCCUGAUGCAGCGACGCCGCGUGAGUGAAGAAGUAUUUCGGUAUGUAAAGCUCUAUCAGCAGGGAAGAAAAUGACGGUCCCUGAUUAAGAAGCCCCGGCUAACUACGUGCCAGCAGCCGCGGUAAUACGUAGGGGGCACGCGUUUUCCGGAUUUACUGGGUGUAAGGGGAGCGUAGACGGCAGGACAAGUCUGGAGUGAAAUGCCGGGGCUUAACCCCGGAACUGCUUUGGAAACUGUGCAGCUAGAGUGCAGGAGAGGUAAGUGGAAUUCCUAGUGUAGCGGUGAAAUGCGUAGAUAUUAGGAGGAACACCAGUGGCGAAGGCGGCUUACGGGACUGUAACUGACGUUGAGGCUCGAAAGCGUGGGGAGCAAACAGGAUUAGAUACCCGAGUAGUC
This 440-nucleotide ribosomal RNA is filed under the name uncultured bacterium. RNAcentral's name for it is "partial 16S ribosomal RNA". It matches the Rfam family "Bacterial small subunit ribosomal RNA", at positions 338 to 795 of the family's 1533-position model. The record is from RNAcentral.